This 388-nucleotide ribosomal RNA is filed under the name uncultured bacterium. RNAcentral's name for it is "bacterial SSU rRNA". It matches the Rfam family "Bacterial small subunit ribosomal RNA", at positions 28 to 416 of the family's 1533-position model. The record is from RNAcentral.
GACGAACGCUGGCGGCGUGCUUAACACAUGCAAGUCGAGCGGUAAGGCCCUUUCGGGGGUACACGAGCGGCGAACGGGUGAGUAAACACGUGGGUGACCUGCCUUUAGCUCUGGGAUAAGCCUGGGAAACCGGGUCUAAUACCGGAUAUGACUCCGCGGCGCAUGUUGUGGGGUGGAAAGCCUUGUGCGGCUGGAGAUGGGCCCGCGGCCUAUCAGCUUGUUGGUGGGGUGAUGGCCUACCAAGGCGACGACGGGUAGCCGGCCUGAGAGGGCGACCGGCCACACUGGGACUGAGACACGGCCCAGACUCCUACGGGAGGCAGCAGUGGGGAAUCUUGCGCAAUGGGCGAAAGCCUGACGCAGCGACGCCGCGUGAGGGAUGACGGCC